Molecule: transfer RNA, 62 nt
Filed under: Urochelellus acutihumeralis
Lineage: Eukaryota; Metazoa; Arthropoda; Insecta; Hemiptera; Urostylididae
Description: tRNA-Tyr
Source: RNAcentral
AAUAAGAUGGCUGAAUUAUAGGCAAUAAAUUGUAAAUUUAUUUAUGGUAUUACCUCUUAUUA